Molecule: ribosomal RNA, 371 nt
Filed under: uncultured bacterium
Lineage: Bacteria
Description: bacterial SSU rRNA
Rfam family: Bacterial small subunit ribosomal RNA
Source: RNAcentral
AGAGUUUGAUCAUGGCUCAGGAGAACGCUGGCGGCGUGCUUAACACAUGCAAGUCGAACGGGAAGAAAAGAAAGAGCUUGCUCUUUUUGGAAUCUAGUGGCAAACGGGUGAGUAACACGUAAACAACCUGCCUUCAGGAUGGGGACAACAGACGGAAACGACUGCUAAUACCGAAUACCUUCCAAUUUCCGCAUGGAGAAAGGAAGAAAGGGUGGCCUCUACUUGUAAGCUAUCGCCUGAAGAGGGGUUUGCGUCUGAUUAGCUAGUUGGUGAGGUAACGGCCCACCAAGGCGACGAUCAGUAGCCGGUCUGAGAGGAUGAACGGCCACACUGGAACUGAGACACGGUCCAGACUCCUACGGGAGGCAGCA